UGAGGAAUAUUGGUCAAUGGGCGGGAGCCUGAACCAGCCAAGUCGCGUGAAGGAAGAAGGAUCUAUGGUUCGUAAACUUCUUUUGCAGGGGAAUAAAGUGCAGGACGUGUCCUGUUUUGUAUGUACCCUGAGAAUAAGGAUCGGCUAACUCCGUGCCAGCAGCCGCGGUAAUACGGAGGAUCCGAGCGUUAUCCGGAUUUAUUGGGUUUAAAGGGUGCGUAGGUGGUUUGAUAAGUCAGCGGUGAAAGUUUGCAGCUUAACUGUAAAAAUGCCGUUGAAACUGUCGGACUUGAGUGUAAAUGAGGUAGGCGGAAUGCGUGGUGUAGCGGUGAAAUGCAUAGAUAUCACGCAGAACUCCGAUUGCGAAGGCAGCUUACUAAGCUACAACUGACACUGAAGC
RNAcentral lists this ribosomal RNA (400 nucleotides) under uncultured bacterium. RNAcentral describes it as "bacterial SSU rRNA". It matches the Rfam family "Bacterial small subunit ribosomal RNA", at positions 355 to 752 of the family's 1533-position model. The record is from RNAcentral.